This 391-nucleotide unclassified non-coding RNA is filed under the name soil metagenome. Its description in RNAcentral is "partial contains 5.8S ribosomal RNA, internal transcribed spacer 2, and large subunit ribosomal RNA". The stretch from base 1 to 122 matches the Rfam family "5.8S ribosomal RNA", at positions 35 to 154 of the family's 154-position model. The record is from RNAcentral.
GAUGAAGAACGUAGCGAAAUGCGAUACUUGGUGUGAAUUGCAGAAUCCCGUGAACCAUCGAGUCUUUGAACGCAAGUUGCGCCCGAAGCCACUAGGCCGAGGGCACGCCUGCCUGGGCGUCACACGCCGUUGCCCCCCCAUCUACUCCUUCGGGAUUGCGGGGGGGCGGAUGAUGGCCUCCCGUGCGCCUAGCCGCGCGGUUGGCAUAAAUACCAAGUCCUCGGCGACGCACGCCACGACAAUCGGUGGUUGCGAAACCUCGGUUGCCCGUGGUGUGCGUUCGUCGCGCAUCGAGGGCUCGAAAAAAUGCUCGGCUCCGGCUGGGCUUUCAACGCGACCCCAGGUCAGGCGGGGUUACCCGCUGAAUUUAAGCAUAUCAAUAAGCGGAGGA